This 5296-nucleotide long non-coding RNA is filed under the name Sus scrofa (pig). RNAcentral's name for it is "lncRNA (ENSSSCG00005004249.1)". The record is from RNAcentral. Lineage: Eukaryota; Metazoa; Chordata; Mammalia; Artiodactyla; Suidae.
AAUGAAAGCUGGGCCUCGUGAGAGCUGGGAAAACCUGGGUCUGAAUCUUCCCACUUAGCUCGAAGCUCCUGUCUGGACCACAGCAGCCAAUUCUCACAACAUACAGUAGGAUCACGGCGUGAAGAGCACUGACUUAGAAGCUGCAUACGAACACGGCAAAUGACCAGAGAGCAGACACACCAGCUCUGGUGGGACAGCGUUCCUUGGGGAAAACACAGAGACAGGAACAGAUGCUGAAGAUGAACAGCAAGGAUCUCUUGGGAAAAAAUAUAUCUUCAAACAAGGGAGAUCCAGAAAAGCUUUUGUCUUCCAGGCUAGACUAUAGCCUUCUAUGGCCAAGAUGGAAACAGGUCUUACUCUCUAGAAAAUCUACUGUAUUACUAACUCAGUUUCAGCAUCAGCUUCUCAGAGAACUCAGCUUCCACAGUUGGCACCAAGUAUGACCUGAGAGAACAAGUGACAAGACAGAGGUCUGGGGACUGGAUCACUCACCACCCAGCUGGUUACGAAGCCCCCCACCCCUGGGGAUAAGUGGUGUGCAGAGAGCACUUGGCCUUAGAUGGUGGUCCAGUUGUUAGAUGCUUCACCAGACCCAGGACCUUAGGAACCAGACCUGGACACCUGCCACCCCUGGGACAACCUCCAGGACACCAGGAGCCCUGAUGUUUCAAGGUGAAAGAAGAUCAGGAAGAAAGGUAUCUUUCAAAUCAAUGCCAUUUAGGCACUACAGGAUGGUUUUAGAAGUAGAUUUUAAUUUCAUAAGUAAUGCAUAUUCAUUGAAGAAAAAUUAGAAAAUCUAUUUCCGCAAAGAGAUAAAAAUCUCACCAAACAUACAGGAACCAUUGAUAAUCUCUGAUUGCAUUUUCUCCAGGUUUUUCUCAUUAAUAUGAUUAUGGACGUCAUGGAUGUGUUUUUGUAACAAGCAUGAGGAGUACAGGCAGUUUUAGAACCUGCUUUUCUAAAGAAUGGAUUAUUGUGCCUUGGGUAUAGUUCAGUCAUUUUCCAGAGAUACAAGUUCCCCUAUACUACAUUCUCUAACAUUUUGUAAUUUAAUGCAUCAUUGACCAAACAAGUGACUGUCAGUGGGCCAGGAACAAAAAGAAUUAAUUUUUUAAAAUUAUGUUUCUGACCUAAGGUCGGCCUAUUAUGUGCUGGAAGCCGUAUGCAUCAUCUCAUUUAAUCCUUACAUUAAGCUGAUUGAUCUCUCUCAUUGUAUAGAUAGAAAAAAACCCAGGUUUAGAGAGGUUAAUGAACCCUCCCAAGGUCACACAGCGAGGAAUCGGCAGACCCCUCAUGUAUCUGAUGCUGCACUUCAGCUCUUUCCAAAUUACUGAUCCAUCAAUGAAAUAGACUUUGACUUGGUGCAGGCAGAGAUGUGUGUAGCAGUACCAAUCAUGUGAUCUAGACCGUAAAAGAAAGCACCCACUGUUACCAUGGGGCCCAUCGGCAGCAUUUCAUGUGAAUGUCUCUGAUGAAGGCCCACCCAGAAGGUCAAUGUCAGCCUCUACUGAUGAGCCUUUAGCAUACCAGGCAAAAUGAGGCAGCUGAGCAGGCUUAUUAAGGCCGAACCAGCUUUGCCCUCUUGGUAUUCAGAAAAGUAGGCAGAUGUUGUCCUCAACUGGCAUUCUCCUGGCUGGAGCUGACUGGAAAUGGUACCAGUCCUAAGAGGGGCUCCAGAAAAUCCUGGACAAGCACACCCAGGCUCUAUGAAAUUCAACUUCUCCUUGGAAAAAGGGUCCCUUCUGUUUCUUGUAAAGAUUCAGGAUGAAACAGGCAGAUUCCUCCAUGGUCACCCCUGGACCUUGGCUGACCACAUUCUGAAAGAGUAGGACAAACAAUUACUCCAUAUUAGGCACUUUUUUUCUUCAGGGGAUGAAACCCAAGAAUGCAUGUGCCCACUUGCAGAUUUUGGCAUCUCUGCUCUAAAGUUGGAAGGAUUAGCACUCUAUAACUUUACUCUUUGCUUGUAUGGGGAGUAAUUAUUUGUUAGAACAACAGGCUUUCGUUUCCUUCAAUGCUACAGUCAUAACUCUAAACAAUUUUAACGUCUUUGAAGAGAAUUAAUUAGCUCUUCUGUUGAUACUUCUAAAGCGCUUUAAUGCAGGUCUGGUUUUAUACUCAGCCUUUAAAAGAACUUCCAUGGCAGCCACUUAACAGAUAACAGACUUUUCAGGAAAUGCCCGAUGCUUUGUAGCAUCUGAAAGGAAUCAUGUUUGAUAGACAUUUGUGCAAUUAAGAAAUAUACUUGCUCAUUGAUAAAAGGGUACUGUUGAUGAAAAUUCCUUUAAAAAUUAAAGGUAUGUCUUAUAAUUGAUUUUUUUUACUUAGUCGAAAAAUAAUGGCAUGACCAUUUUCUUUAAUUGUAAGGAAACUUUAAAAGAUAGGACGAUACUCAGUGCCAGGAAAAUUACAAUUUGUUUAAAAUCUCCAGAGUAAAAUUCCUUAUUUCUCUAGGUGGUUCGUUCCUAUGUUUUAUAGACAUUUUCAUUUCAACUCUUCCUAGGUUAUCCUUAAAUCAGAUUUAUUGAAAGCCAAUGAGUACCUGCUAUAUGCCAGGUUAAUUUGGCAACUAUCAUUUUGCUUUAUUUUUAAAACUGAAGUAUAGUUGACUUAUUUAUUGUGUUAAUGUCAGGUAUACAGUAUAGUGAUUCAGUAUUUUUGCAGAUUAUAUUCCAUUAUAGGUUAUUACAAGCUCCAGCGACUUUGCCCGUCCUGUUGCACCACAGAGGGAACGCCUGGCAAUUAUUAUUUUAAAUAAUCCUCAAAACCCAUUCCCUACAACAGGUAGUAGUCUAGUAACAAAAUACCUCCAUCUUCCAGAUGAUAAAAUUAAGAUUUGGGCAAAUCAAUUGACACGGUUCAUUCACACAAUUCGAAGGGCCAGAAUCAGAAUUUGCACCCAGGUCUUCAGCUGCCAGGGUCCAGCAAGCCACACCUGCUUUUCUGUGGGCUGUGGGGCUGCUAUGGAAGGGUAGCUCACUCAGUCACAGGCACAACUGUCCCUUCUCUUGUCCUUGUCUGCAGGCCAAGGCUCAGGGGCUACUUCCCCAACCUACUGAUUGUGACCCUUGGCUUAGACUCUGGGCAUCUUCAUUUAUAAAGCUUUCCAGGUCAUUUUUCAUUUCCAUUUAAAUCUAUGAAUCCAAUUCCUUUGGCCUCUGCUCACCAAUCUCCUUUUUUGCAAACCAUCUUCAUUUUGUCAUGGUCCCUUCUGGGACUUAACCGUCAUAAUUAACGUGGAGUCACCCUAUAAGAGACCACCAGCUCCUGGAGACAGAAUGAUGGACCUCGUGGCCUUUCCCCCUCAUAUCAAACUUUUUCAACAUCUUCUCACUCAUUCAAUGCUUAGGUUAAAGAGUUCAAUGACUUUUUUCAAAAGCUAAGAGGGGUCGGUCUCUAGACGUAAGUGUGAAGGCAGAAUACAUCCGUGUAAUUGAAAGAACACGAAAAGUCAGCAGACUUUUCUUCAAAACCUUGUGAUGUGAUUUUGGCUAAGUCAUUCACUCUCUUAAAUUUAUAAAAUAGGGAUAAUCAUAGGUACCUCUCAGAGCUAUUUGCUGUCAUGCAUGGGCCACCAAACUCAAAAAAACUUCUUCUUCCCAGCCGGCCUAGCCAGAGCAUCACACUCAAAAAAAAAAUUCAGUUCAAGAAUGUCUUGAAAAGCACUGUAUACCUGUAUGGAGGUCUCUAAAGAUGAAAGCAGGGCUUACAAAUGGCAGUACACCUGUGAGCAAGCCAUGGAUUGAGGGCGAAACUGCCCAAGUUCAAAAUGCAACACCUUCACUUCUUGGUUGUGUGUCCUUGGGCAAGUUGUUAGGUCAUUUCUAUGCCUCAGUCUCUUCAUCUGUGAAAUGAAGGCACUAACGGUAUUUCCCUCAUAGGUCUAGAAAUUCCAAGAUGUAAAACAACUAUAGCAGAAGGAAUCUUCGAGGUUGGCUGCCUUGUUUCUUAGAAACCUAUCUUGAUUGUAGGAACAUGAGACAAAGCUUGCAGAAUUUAGAUGCAGGGCCUGGAUCUGUGUCCUUCCUACCUGCUGUCCUGACUAUCACCCCUGCCCCUGCCCUGACAUCUGCUUCCAACAAUCUCGAACCUCUGGAGACUAAGCUUCUCCUACAUACAGCCAAGGCCUGGAGUCUCAGGAUUAAAUGUGUCACUAGAUUUAAGGACAGUGCUUGGGACAAAGUCUAGAAAGUGUUUGCUAUUAUUGUAGCGUGUAGCAUUUGACAGAGCAAAACAUCCUUAAUUUUUUUUUUUUUUUUAGGGCUACACUCAUGGCAUAUGGAAGUUCCCAGGCUAGGGGUCAAAUCAGAGCUACAGCUGCCAGCCUACACCACAGCUCACAGCAACACCAGAUCCUUAGCCCACUGAGUGAGGCCAGGGAUGGAACCUGCCUUCAGGUUCAUUUCUGCUGCACCAUAGUGGGAACUCCCCAAAGCAAAACAUCCUUAAAACCCUUAGCUCAAGAAGGUCCCUGAGAUCCCACACUGGGGAGCAGCUGCCCAAGUCUCUCACCUCUUAUUCUCCUGCCUCCCAGGCUAAGGGCUCCACCUGCCUUUCAGGUAUCUACAUCUCCCUCCCCCCAGAGGCUCCAGCUCUUUCAUAGGCAAUGUGAUGUACCCCUUUCUCUACUUGCUUUGUUUCUUUAAUCUAGCACCCCAGUCUUUACCCCCGUCAGCCUAACAGAUGUUGUCAAGGGCCUGAGGAGGCAGAAGGUGACAGGAUAUUUUUGUCACACACCCCAUAAUAUAUUUAUGAUGCUUGGUAUCUUGUGGAAACUCAGUGAAUAUGAGUUUCCUCCUCACUUUAGUAUCAAACACAGGACAAUAAGGGCAAAGCGACCUAUUUCAGAUGCUUAUGGGAAGUUGCAUACCACCAAUUCUUCCUCUUUCAUGGUGCAUUAAUACACCUGCCUCAUGACAUUGGUUCUGAAAACCAGGAACAUAGGCAGACCCACAGGCUGAGGGCAUAUGCAAUCUGAGGAUCUAGGUCUGUGCUGUCCAACAUGGUAGCCACUAGCCAGCCAAGCCUGUUUCAAUUACAAUGAAUGAAAAUGAAAUAAAAUUCAAAAUUCAGUUCCUCACGGAGUUCCCGUCGUGGCUCAGUGGUUAAGGAAUCCGACUAGGAACCAUGAGGUUGUGGGUUCUAUCCCUGGCCUUGCUCAGUGGGUUAAGGAUCUGGCAUUGCCGUGAGCUGUGGUGUAGGUAGAUGCAGCUUGGAUCCCAUGUUGCUGUGACUCUGGUGUAGGCCAGCGGCUACAGCUCUGAUUAGACUCCUAGCCUGGGAAUCUCCAUAUGCC